This 726-nucleotide long non-coding RNA is filed under the name Nicotiana benthamiana. RNAcentral describes it as "long non-coding RNA (NBEN_LNC035179)". Lineage: Eukaryota; Viridiplantae; Streptophyta; Magnoliopsida; Solanales; Solanaceae. The record is from RNAcentral.
CUUAUUCUCACCCUUUAUUUACAUUUAUUACUCACUGGUUCGAAGUACUCAUAUUACUUCAUGUAUCUUGCGUAUAGAUCCAGGUGCAUCUGAGGCUGAGUGAGGAUUUUCUGUUCAGCAGCGCAUAUCCGGGAGCAUCAAGGUAGCUGCAUGGCUUCCGCAACCCUGAUCUCUCCCGUCUAUCCUUUGUUUUUAUGUUAUAUCCUCUAGAUUGACAUGUAUUAGGUUGAUUAACUUGUAUUAGACGCCCAGACUUGUGACACCGAAUCUGUUCGGGCUAUGUAGUUGGAUAAUUUGUUCGAUUUCCGCAUGUUUAACUCUUAUUUCAUACUUCUAAUAGAUUAUUUCGGUAAUUUACAUAUGUUAGGUAAUAAUGAAUUGAAUGAGAAAUGGGUUAAGGUUUUUAAUUGGCCUGGCUUGCCUAGCAGUGUGUUGGACUCAAUCACGACCGGGGUUUGAGUCGUGAUACCACGUUCUUAGGACCUAUGUUUCUUACUUCAGCACUUCAUUCAUUAGUUCAUGUGUUAUGUCUAUCACUUAGAAAUCCUGCUCAUAGGGCAAUAACAACACUAAAAUAAAAAGUUAUUAUCUUAAAAUUCUGCAACUCUUGUUUACAUUUAAAAAUCAUUCCUUAAGGAUUCUGUUUUCAACAAACUUGCAAUUUACAUGUGUAUAUUAGAUACCAUGUUCUAGGAUCCUAUUUGCAUUUUGUGUAAAAAACGUCUA